RNAcentral lists this ribosomal RNA (541 nucleotides) under uncultured bacterium. RNAcentral describes it as "partial 16S ribosomal RNA". It matches the Rfam family "Bacterial small subunit ribosomal RNA", at positions 355 to 888 of the family's 1533-position model. The record is from RNAcentral.
UGGGGAAUUUUGGACAAUGGGGGAAACCCUGAUCCAGCCAUCCCGCGUGUGCGAUGAAGGCCUUCGGGUUGUAAAGCACUUUUGGCAGGAAAGAAACGUCGCGGGUUAAUACCCCGCGGAACUGACGGUACCUGCAGAAUAAGCACCGGCUAACUACGUGCCAGCAGCCGCGGUAAUACGUAGGGUGCAAGCGUUAAUCGGAAUUACUGGGCGUAAAGCGUGCGCAGGCGGUUCGGAAAGAAAGAUGUGAAAUCCCAGAGCUUAACUUUGGAACUGCAUUUUUAACUACCGGGCUAGAGUGUGUCAGAGGGAGGUGGAAUUCCGCGUGUAGCAGUGAAAUGCGUAGAUAUGCGGAGGAACACCGAUGGCGAAGGCAGCCUCCUGGGAUAACACUGACGCUCAUGCACGAAAGCGUGGGGAGCAAACAGGAUUAGAUACCCUGGUAGUCCACGCCCUAAACGAUGUCAACUAGCUGUUGGGGUCUUCGGACCUUGGUAGGCGCAGCUAACGCGUGAAGUUGACCGCCUGGGGAGUACGGUCG